Molecule: long non-coding RNA, 671 nt
Filed under: Zea mays
Lineage: Eukaryota; Viridiplantae; Streptophyta; Magnoliopsida; Poales; Poaceae
Description: drought responsive lncRNA
Source: RNAcentral
AGAUAUUCCUGGAAGGAGAAUUCCUCACGUCACCUGCAACUUCAACUGUUACACGGCUUCACCACGUUAAACUCCCAGCAAAACCCCAAGUCGUCACCUGCCCCAGCGUUUACUCACCUUGUUCCCUAGCCCCGGCGGCCACCCUGUCCUUGAUCAUUUCCAAGUUGUGUUGCAGCGAGCUUCUACGUAGUUCUUCCCCACCCGCUCGCUCCCAGCCUGUCUGGUCCUGCGUACUUCGACGCCGUUCUCCAGACGUGACAGCUCCAUCGCUGGUCGUCCAAUCCAUGUUGAUCCUGACUGAUCUCGCACGAGCACUGAAGGCGUGGUGAGUCACCGGUACUCCCUCCCUGUACCUUUGAUUAGAGCUCUACCGUAGGGGAUGACUCCGGAUCAAGUUGUCGGGCGAGGUCUGAAUGAGGUUGGGCCGGCUGAGUGAGUUUGGGCCCCAUACUGUUCUGAGUUUUGCCUUUUUUAUUAACUGAGAGAUUAGAAAUGGUGCCAAAAUUUAUAGAAAAUUCUAAAAAUCAUGGGACAAAUUUUAGUGGAUGUAUAAAAUCAAACGCUCUUUGGUAAAGUUGGUUUUCAGAUUUUUAGGUCGGUUACCAAAUAUUAAGGGAUUUAAAAGUGCUCUUGGAAGGACUGUUUGGAUUUUAAAAAUAAAAGUACAGUGC